UAGAGUUUGAUCCUGGCUCAGAUUGAACGCUGGCGGCAGGCUUAACACAUGCAAGUCGAGCGGGGGAAGGUAGCUUGCUACCGGACCUAGCGGCGGACGGGUGAGUAAUGCUUAGGAAUCUGCCUAUUAGUGGGGGACAACAUCUCGAAAGGGAUGCUAAUACCGCAUACGUCCUACGGGAGAAAGCAGGGGAUCUUCGGACCUUGCGCUAAUAGAUGAGCCUAAGUCGGAUUAGCUAGUUGGUGGGGUAAAGGCCUACCAAGGCGACGAUCUGUAGCGGGUCUGAGAGGAUGAUCCGCCACACUGGGACUGAGACACGGCCCAGACUCCUACGGGAGGCAGCAGUGGGGAAUAUUGGACAAUGGGGGGAACCCUGAUCCAGCCAUGCCGCGUGUGUGAAGAAGGCCUUAUGGUUGUAAAGCACUUUAAGCGAGGAGGAGGCUACUUUAGUUAAUACCUAGAGAUAGUGGACGUUACUCGCAGAAUAAGCACCGGCUAACUCUGUGCCAGCAGCCGCGGUAAUACAGAGGGUGCGAGCGUUAAUCGGAUUUACUGGGCGUAAAGCGUGCGUAGGCGGCUUAUUAAGUCGGAUGUGAAAUCCCCGAGCUUAACUUGGGAAUUGCAUUCGAUACUGGUGAGCUAGAGUAUGGGAGAGGAUGGUAGAAUUCCAGGUGUAGCGGUGAAAUGCGUAGAGAUCUGGAGGAAUACCGAUGGCGAAGGCAGCCAUCUGGCCUAAUACUGACGCUGAGGUACGAAAGCAUGGGGAGCAAACAGGAUUAGAUACCCUGGUAGUCCAUGCCGUAAACGAUGUCUACUAGCCGUUGGGGCCUUUGAGGCUUUAGUGGCGCAGCUAACGCGAUAAGUAGACCGCCUGGGGAGUACGGUCGCAAGACUAAAACUCAAAUGAAUUGACGGGGGCCCGCACAAGCGGUGGAGCAUGUGGUUUAAUUCGAUGCAACGCGAAGAACCUUACCUGGCCUUGACAUACUAGAAACUUUCCAGAGAUGGAUUGGUGCCUUCGGGAAUCUAGAUACAGGUGCUGCAUGGCUGUCGUCAGCUCGUGUCGUGAGAUGUUGGGUUAAGUCCCGCAACGAGCGCAACCCUUUUCCUUACUUGCCAGCAUUUCGGAUGGGAACUUUAAGGAUACUGCCAGUGACAAACUGGAGGAAGGCGGGGACGACGUCAAGUCAUCAUGGCCCUUACGGCCAGGGCUACACACGUGCUACAAUGGUCGGUACAAAGGGUUGCUACACAGCGAUGUGAUGCUAAUCUCAAAAAGCCGAUCGUAGUCCGGAUUGGAGUCUGCAACUCGACUCCAUG
This 1320-nucleotide ribosomal RNA is filed under the name Acinetobacter baumannii. RNAcentral's name for it is "bacterial SSU rRNA". It matches the Rfam family "Bacterial small subunit ribosomal RNA", at positions 1 to 1322 of the family's 1533-position model. The record is from RNAcentral. Lineage: Bacteria; Pseudomonadati; Pseudomonadota; Gammaproteobacteria; Moraxellales; Moraxellaceae.